UCUUUUCAGUUGCUUUCAGACC
Molecule: small nuclear RNA, 22 nt
Filed under: Arabidopsis thaliana (thale cress)
Lineage: Eukaryota; Viridiplantae; Streptophyta; Magnoliopsida; Brassicales; Brassicaceae
Description: snRNA_12041
Source: RNAcentral